UGCAAACUGUAGAUUAAUGAAGUUCCCCGCACCUUUUUGCUAUUUAAAGAUGGUGUUUGGAGCUACGAGGUUAUCCUGCCAAAAGUCCUAUGAUGGACUGAAACAUCAAUUUGCUGUAACCCGUGAGUUAUGAAUAAAGACAAAUAAUUUUCUUCAAAAAGCCCAGCGUGUGCCUUUCUUCGUGGAGAUUUUUGUUGAUUUGGCUGAAAGAGCAC
This is a non-coding RNA of Pelobates cultripes (western spadefoot toad), 215 nucleotides long. The record is from the annotation of a GenBank genome assembly. NCBI's taxonomy places the organism in Eukaryota, Metazoa, Chordata, Amphibia, Anura, Pelobatidae.